AAAAAAAUUAUUCAAAUGCUAACAAUGAUGUAUCGUCCCUUUAAGAAAAUAUUGAUUGAAAUUUGAUAUUUUAUCAUCAAGUAAAAAGUCAAGUCUCCAAAUACAUUCAUAAAUGAGGAGAAAAUUAUAAUACAGAAACAUUAGCUAUGAAAGCAAAGUUUGUAUUAGUUUUUAAUUGGUCACACUUCCUCAUCUUGCAUAUUUGAUGACUACGUACACUCUUGCAGGGACCACACUCCCCGCAAUUGUCUUUUUUCAGGCAUCCAGGACAUUCUCCACAUCUUUUUCUUUUCUUCUUAGGUA
Centruroides sculpturatus (bark scorpion) is the source of this 303-nucleotide long non-coding RNA. RefSeq lists it as uncharacterized. The transcript has 3 exons. The record is from RefSeq and is a predicted model, not a curated record. Lineage: Eukaryota; Metazoa; Arthropoda; Arachnida; Scorpiones; Buthidae.